RNAcentral lists this ribosomal RNA (427 nucleotides) under uncultured bacterium. RNAcentral's name for it is "bacterial SSU rRNA". It matches the Rfam family "Bacterial small subunit ribosomal RNA", at positions 29 to 434 of the family's 1533-position model. The record is from RNAcentral.
AACGAACGCUGGCGGCGUGGAUAAGACAUGCAAGUCGAACGCUGAUUUCAGGGUAGCAAUAUUCUGGAGUCGGAGUGGCGCAAGGGUGCGUAACACGUGGGUAAUUUGCCAUGAAGCCCGGAAUAACUCGCUGAAAGGCGAGCUAAUACCGGAUGUGAUCUUCGGGAGGCAUCUCCUGAACCUUAAAGCUGGGGACCGUAAGGCCUGGCACUUCUUGAUAAGCCCGCGGCCUAUCAGCUAGUUGGUGAGGUAACGGCUCACCAAGGCUAAGACGGGUAGCUGGUCUGAGAGGACGACCAGUCACACUGGAACUGAGAGACGGUCCAGACACCUACGGGUGGCAGCAGUCGAGAAUUUUUCACAAUGGGCGCAAGCCUGAUGGAGCGACGCCGCGUGGGGGAUGAAGGGCUUCGGUCCGUAAACCCCU